CGAAAGCCUGACGGAGCAAUACCGCGUGGGGGAUGAAGGCUCUUGGGUUGUAAACCUCUUUUCUCAGGGAAGAAAAAAAUGACGGUACCUGAGGAAUAAGCAUCGGCUAACUCCGUGCCAGCAGCCGCGGUAAUACGGAGGAUGCAAGCGUUAUCCGGAAUGAUUGGGCGUAAAGCGUCUGUAGGUGGUUUGGCAAGUCUGCCGUUAAAGGUCGGGGCUUAACUCCGAAAAGGCGGUGGAGACUGCCAGACUAGAGUGUGGUAGGGGUAGAGGGAAUUCCCGGUGUAGCGGUGAAAUGCGUAGAUAUCGGGAAGAACACCGGUGGCGAAGGCGCUCUACUGGGCCACAACUGACACUGAGGGACGAAAGCUAGGGGAGCGAAAGGGAUUAGAUACCCCUGUAGUCCUAGCUGUAAACGAUGGAUACUAGGUGUUGCCUGUAUCGACCCGGGCAGUGCCGUAGCUAACGCGUUAAGUAUCCCGCCUGGGGAGUACGCACGCAAGUGUGAAACUCAAAGGAAUUGACGGGGGCCCGCACAAGCGGUGGAGUAUGUGGUUUAAUUCGAUGCAACGCGAAGAACCUUACCAGGGCUUGACAUGUCCGGAACCUCUGGGAAACUAGGGGGUGCCUUCGGGAGCCGGAACACAGGUGGUGCAUGGCUGUCGUCAGCUCGUGUCGUGAGAUGUUGGGUUAAGUCCCGCAACGAGCGCAACCCUCGUUUGAAGUUGCCAGCAUUAAGUUGGGCACUCUGAAGAGACUGCCGGUGACAAACCGGAGGAAGGUGGGGAUGACGUCAAGUCAGCAUGCCCCUUACGUCCUGGGCUACACACGUACUACAAUGCUACGGACAAAGGGCAGCAACUCCGCGAGGGGAAGCAAAUCCCAGAAACCGUGGCUCAGUUCAGAUUGCAGGCUGCAACUCGCCUGCAUGAAGGUGGAAUCGCUAGUAAUCGCCGGUCAGCAUACGGCGGUGAAUACGUUCCCGGGCCUUGUACACACCGCCCGUCACACCAUGGAAGCUGGUAAAGCCCGAAGUCGUUACCCUAACCCGAAAGGGAGGGGGAUGCCGAAGGCAGUGCUGGUGACUGGGGUGAAGUCGUAACAAGGUAGCCGUACCGGAAGGUGUGGCUGAAUCACCUCCUUAAAGGGAGACCUGCUUAAUCUAGACCGACCCAAAGUAAAAGAGGUCAGAUGUAAGGCAUCCCAGGUCGUGCGAGGAAAAAAACUGGUUGCUAAGGCUUUCAAACUCUCUUUCGGUUCGGAACAUAUUUCGGUUCGGAACAUGGGCUAUUAGCUCAGGUGGUUAGAGCGCACCCCUGAUAAGGGUGAGGUCCCUGGUUCGAGUCCAGGAUGGCCCACCUUAAGUCGUCUUGAGGGGGUAUAGCUCAGUUGGUAGAGCGCUGCCUUUGCAAGGCAGAUGUCAGCGGUUCGAGUCCGCUUACCUCCACUAGAGCGAACCAGCGGUUAAAACCGCGUCUACACAAAGAAAGUCCAUCUAGGUGGACUGAGUUAAAAAUGCGUAGAUAAAACAAAUUACACAGAGGUAGAUUUUAAAGGAAAAAAAAACAAUAAAAAGCUUGACAUCGGAAAAAAGGUCGUGAUAGACUAGAAAAGGUGGAAAAAGAAGCUAGCAACUGAAAGGAAAAAAACCGAUCGGCCUGCUGGACUCUAAACCAGCCAGAACCUUGAAAACUGCAUAGUAACAUAUCAGCAAGAGUAGUCAGUAAGAAGUAGGCGUCAGGAAUGACGUGUAAGAUCUUGCAGACUGUUUUAAAUGUGGUCAAGCUACAAAGGGCUUACG
RNAcentral lists this unclassified non-coding RNA (1801 nucleotides) under Cyanothece aeruginosa SAG 87.79. Its description in RNAcentral is "bacterial SSU rRNA". The stretch from base 1 to 1144 matches the Rfam family "Bacterial small subunit ribosomal RNA", at positions 376 to 1533 of the family's 1533-position model. Lineage: Bacteria; Bacillati; Cyanobacteriota; Cyanophyceae; Gomontiellales; Cyanothecaceae. The record is from RNAcentral.